This is a long non-coding RNA of Ictalurus punctatus (channel catfish), 2927 nucleotides long. Lineage: Eukaryota; Metazoa; Chordata; Actinopteri; Siluriformes; Ictaluridae. The record is from Ensembl.
ACCAGAAGAAUUAAUAAUUAUGUGACGAUAAAUAGAAAAAAAGUUGCUCACAUAAUAGCAACAACAACAAUGACGAUGAACACCCAGAUGGAUUAAACAGCAUCAGGAACCGAAGGUGUCGUAAGUCCCGGCUCGUCUUACCAUGCCAUUAAUCAGUCACAAUGUUUUUGUCCUCACGCUUGGCUCCGAUUGGCCGAGGGAGUGUACGUGCUCAAAGUUGGCAGUAUCGGAUUUAUAAAAUAAUAUCAAAACAAACAGAGUGUCUGUAUCACUGACGGUUUAGAUCAUCGCCCACAUCCACUGUUUACCCAACCAGCCGCUCGCCAUCUCCUGCACUAUUGUUAUUGUACAUAGUGCGUGUUUUGAAAAUGCACAGCAGUGACGUCAAGUACCAAGGGGUGCAUGAGGUGUGUGUGAGAGAGAGAAAGAGAUAGAGAGAAUAUCUGAGAUAAUGUUUAGAAAUUCCUCAUCUUCGAACAAGCCAUGACCAGCAGAAUAAAAGUACUUUUACAGUGAGAGUUGAUUAAGAAGCUUAAAAUCCAGGUUUUACGGAUUUGUCUCAUUCCAUCGCGGUCUUUGUGUCUUACUAUCCUCGACCUCUUUGUGCUUCGAUGACGGAAACGUGGAGUUCAUGCCAUCACACAUAUAUAAGAGAAAGAAAUGGUACAACAUGUUACAGGUGGAUAUUUUUAAGGCGUUACGAUGAAGAGAUCUAAUCGAAAUGCAAACCUCAGUGAAUCUUGUUUAUCUUGUACAGACGUAUCCUGAUUAAAUUUUUUGUGUGUGUGUACAAGAUGAACAGGAUUCAAUGAUGAUUGCGCGUUAGUGUGUAGGUGGUUGUAUAACAGGCCGGUCGGUUAUCAUCACCUAAUCAUCAAGUCGCAGCUUUUGCUUUCUCGCACUGUCUCUGCCUUUUUCUCUCUGACCCCAUUUACAUCCGGUAUCCGAACCCAUCUCGAGUGAUCCUAUCAUAAGUGGACUGUGCUCGGUACAGGUGGAGACAGGGUCGGUAGUGUAAAAUGUGUGUACAGUAGCCAAACGUUCUUAAAUAAGUACUGUUAAUUAAAAAUAACAAUUCACACCGAGGUAAAAGUUGUCAGCCAAAUAGCAGCAAGACUUUUUUUUUUUUUAAAUAGACUUUAAUGAGUAGACUGUGUUGGAAUGUUAAUGAUCCUGUAACUUUACAGACAGGGGGAACAUUAGCAAUAGAGCUAUACAGAAAGUGAAAACCCAUCCAUCCAUUUUUUUUAACUGCCCACCCAUCUAGCUGUCCAUACAUCCAUUUACCCAACCAGCCAUACAGUGUACCCACCCAGAAAUCCAUCUAUCCAUCCAUCCAUCCAUCUAUCCAUUCAACCAACCUACAUGUCUGUCCAUCUGACCAUCCAUCCAUACAUCCAUGCAUGCAUCCAUCCCUCUGUCCAUCCAUCCAUCUAUCCAUCCAACCAACCUACAUGUCUGUCCAUCUGACCAUACAUCCAUGCAUGCAUCCAUCCCUCUGUCCAUCCAUCCAUCCAUCCAUCCAUCUAUCCAUCCAACCAACCUACAUGUCUGUCCAUCUGACCAUACAUCCAUGCAUGCAUCCAUCCCUCUGUCCAUCCAUCCAUGCAUGCAUGCAUGCAUCUACCCAUCCAACCUACAUGUCUGUCUAUCUGUCCAACCAUCCAUCCAUGCAUGCAUACAUACCUCCAUCCAUCCACCCAACCUACCUACGUCUGUCCGUCCAUCCACCCAACCUACCUACGUCCCUCCCUCCAUCCAUCCAACCUACCUGUCUAUUUCUGUCCAUCCAUCCAUUAAUCCAUCCAGUCAACCUACUUAUCUGUUUGUCCAUCAACCAACCAUCCAUCCACCCAACCACCCACAAAACUGCCUGUCCGUCAAUCCAUCCUUCCACCCACUCAUAUAUUUCAGCGUUCAGUUCUCUUCCUCUCUCCUUUUAAAGAGGCUCUUCACUGCUCGUUUGUUUCAUUUCCUCUUUGCCCCUCCUCUUCCACAGUCGCUUUGAAAAAGCUCUCAUCAGAACACAGAAUCACAAGCCAACACGUUGCAUGCGCUGCAGAUUUACGUAUAUGCAUCUGCAGAAUUGAUCUCUAUGCAUGUUUAAAAUGCACGUUGAUGAUCCUUCAUGCACACACACACACACACACACACAUACACAUACAUACAAACAGUACUAUGAUGCUACACUGCUUUGAGCGCAUUUUAUCUCUCUCUCUUCUUGCCUGUUACUCUAGAGCUCGUUUUUUUUUUAUAAAUCCUGCUGCUUAACACUGAUGUGUGUAGGUAGUGUGAUGAGUAUGCAAGUAAUCAUUAUAGCCUGAUUUAAUUAUUUAAUUCUUGCCAACGUGUUGUGCCACAGAGAUCCCGUAGAGCAGAAAGUAAUCAUCUGUAAUGACUGCACAUAUGGAGAAGAGAAUGUGCAGGAGGGACAAAGAGAAAAGCAGAGCUCAUCUCAAGAGACCGAUAAAGCAGGAGUGGCUUCUGUUUUCUAGCCAAACCAGCAAUAUCUGCAGCGGCUGAAAUUUUACCACGCGAUCCUCAUUUAACGUCGCAUAGUUUCCAUUCUGUCCCGCGUUACUCAGAGGUGAAGUAAUGGAUACCGGUGCAUUUGAAAGUACAGAUUGAAGGAAUUGCCCAAACAGACGUUCUGUUGGAUGCGUCCCAUAUGCUAGUGUGAGAUAAAAGAGCUCUUGGUAGAAAUAGUCAUCCAGGAUACCGUGAAGAGAAAAGAGGAUGGGGUUGUUUUUCUUACUUUAAUGGAGAUUUAUGAGAACGCGCUAAUCCUCACCUGCUUCGUUUGACGAUUCUUAAAAUUGGCUGCUGUAGCUAGUCUGAAUAAUAGCUAGACGUAAUCGUCGCGUCUAAUACACUGCGCUUUGCAAGGUCAGGGUGCAUGCUUAUAUAUAUGUGUGUGUGUGUGUGUA